Molecule: ribosomal RNA, 479 nt
Filed under: uncultured bacterium
Lineage: Bacteria
Description: partial 16S ribosomal RNA
Rfam family: Bacterial small subunit ribosomal RNA
Source: RNAcentral
GAUGAACGCUAGCGGGAGGCCUAACACAUGCAAGCCGAGCGGUAUUGUUUCUUCGGAAAUGAGAGAGCGGCGUACGGGUGCGUAACACGUGUGCAACCUGCCUUUAUCUGGGGGAUAGCCUUUCGAAAGGAAGAUUAAUACUCCAUAAUAUAUUGAACGGCAUCGUUUAAUAUUGAAAGCUCCGGCGGAUAGAGAUGGGCACGCGCAAGAUUAGCUAGUUGGUGAGGUAACGGCUCACCAAGGCGAUGAUCUUUAGGGGGCCUGAGAGGGUGAUCCCCCACACUGGUGCUGAGACACGGACCAGACUCCUACGGGAGGCAGCAGUGAGGAAUAUUGGUCAAUGGGUGCAAGCCUGAACCAGCCAUCCCGCGUGAAGGACGACUGCCCUAUGGGUUGUAAACUUCUUUUGUAUAGGGAUAAACCUACCCUCGAGAGGGUAGCUGAAGGUACUAUACGAAUAAGCACCGGCUAACUCCGUG